GGAAAACUGAUCAUCUCUUCAUUCUUAGUUCUUGGUCAUUUCCCAGACACACUUGUCUACAAGGUCUCACAAUGGUUGAAGCAGACAUAGGAAUGAGGUUUUAUUAGUGCCAUCCCUUUUUAAAGAGAUAUGGGCAACGAUCGAGAACUGAGGCAGUUCUAUUGCUCAUGAAGGCAGGGGCCUUUGAAGGGAUGUGGAUGUCCCGAGCGAGCAGCCCCUAUACUGUGACGGCACACAUACUGUGGCUAUCUCCGAUUUGAGGAAUAGAAUUGACGGUCUUCAGGGGGAUAUAUGAGGACAGCAUUGACACCCUGGCCGAGUCUGUAUUACAGCCUGCAUCACAGCAGGAAUUCAGCAGGUUUUAAAGCUCACCUUUUCAUUCAUUACAGAUUCUCCACAAAUUCUCCAGUUGCUUCUAAG
Non-coding RNA from Pelobates cultripes (western spadefoot toad), 420 nucleotides. NCBI's taxonomy places the organism in Eukaryota, Metazoa, Chordata, Amphibia, Anura, Pelobatidae. The record is from the annotation of a GenBank genome assembly.